GCACAACGCGAAGAACCUUACCAGGGCUUGACAUCCAAAGAAUUCCUACGAAAGUAGGGAGUGCCUUCGGGAGCUUUGAGACAGGUGGUGCAUGGUUGUCGUCAGCUCGUGUCGUGAGAUGUUGGGUUAAGUCCCGCAACGAGCGCAACCCUUGUCAUUAGUUGCUACGAAAGGGCACUCUAAUGAGACUGCCGGUGACAAACCGGAGGAAGGUGGGGAUGACGUCAAGUCCUCAUGGCCCUUAUGGGUAGGGCUUCACACGUCAUACAAUGGUCGGGACAGAGGGUCGCCAACCCGCGAGGGGGAGCCAAUCCCAGAAACCCGAUCGUAGUCCGGAUUGGAGUCUGCAACUCGACUCCAUGAAGUCGGAAUCGCUAGUAAUCGCAGAUCAGCAUUGCUGCGGUGAAUACGUUCCCGGGUCUUGUACACACCG
This 433-nucleotide ribosomal RNA is filed under the name uncultured bacterium. RNAcentral describes it as "bacterial SSU rRNA". It matches the Rfam family "Bacterial small subunit ribosomal RNA", at positions 954 to 1392 of the family's 1533-position model. The record is from RNAcentral.